CCGUAUUCUUCCCCAAUCUCCCAAAUUCUUGCUAUCCUGAUCCCCAUUCUCCUUCUGUAGUUCUUUGGACACAACAAUUGUAUCCACCUACCCAGAAAAUUUUUCCACCAAAUUCAUCGGGUUUCGUCGUUCUGGCACCGCGGAAGCCAUCCAAGUUUGAAGCCCAAAUGACGGAAUCGAUGGAUGCUCUUACGACAAAGCUCGAAGGAUUCGAUGCUAUGAUGCAGAAGAUUCUCGACAAGGUCACUGGUUUGGAGGCUUGGAAGACGGCGGCUGAUGCGUCCAUGGACGCGUUGAUCUCCAAGGCGAACGCUACAGCGACACACCUUCGUCGUCUGGAGGUCCCUCCACCACCCCUACAGGCGGCGUCGACAGCAUACUCUCCUCCUCCGCCGCCGGCAUGGGUGAAUCCAUUCGACCUCAACUUGGCUCCUAGACAAGCGGCGCGCCCAUCUGCGUCGGCUUUGGAGCGGCCCAGCGGGCACCCCCAUGAUUCGAGCCAUCGGGAUGCUGGCGGUGGGAUCCUUGGAUCUCAUCCGCGGCACCCGGUCACGGGAGGAGGAGCUGGAAUCUCGCAAGCGCUUUUCCACUUGGAAGUCAGAAUCAAUGGAUUAUUCCAAGUUUGCCAGCAAGGGUUUCUCUGGCCACGAGAAAGCUAAACCUUCUCUCAAGAAAGAAGAACCAAAGAAGUUUGACAAGCCAGCAACUGAUUCCAAGUGCUCUUAUGCAAUUCAGAAAAGCUAAUGGGCUCUGUUAUACUUGUGGGAAGAAAUGGACUGGUCGUGCUCAUAAAUGUCCGGAACAUGUACCUCUGCAUGUGGUUCAGGAGGUAUUCGAAGCUUUUCUGUUGGAUCAAACUUCUGAUACUGAUUCCAUUGAUGGUGAUACUGAUACUGCUGAAGACACUGUGAUGUAUGUGCAACCUUCAGUCAUUGCACAGCCCCAGAAAAGAAGAAGAACCAUGCGGUUUAGAGUGUCAGUGGGCAAGAGAGAUUUACUCAUCCUUUUGGAUUUUGGCAGUGCUGGUACUUUUAUCAGUGAGGAAGUAGCUCAGCAGUUUCCCUCCCUUUUACAGUCAUGUGCACCUUUGCAAUUCUCUACUGCUGAUGGCACUCCAAUGACUUCUGACAUGCACAUUGAGAAAUUUCAGUGGUUCAUAUAGGGGCAGUCUUUCACCUAUGAUGCCAGGGUCCUACCUUUGAAAUGCUUUGACAUGAUCAUGGGAGCCGAUUGUUGGAGGACCGCAGUCUAACCUGGAUACAUUGGAAGAAGAAACAGAUGAAGUUUCCUUUUCAAGGGAAAAGAGUGCUUAUUCAGAGUAUCAGGGAUCAUCUGAGAUUUUUUAAACCUGUCAAUGGAGGAAAGUUAAAAGGCCUUACGAGAACAAAAGCUGUCUCUCACUUGGUGCACUUGAGAAGAAUUCCAGAACACAGAAGUUGCAGUCCUAUACACUCAUUGGCUUCUGCAGACCCAGACACUGUGUUACCUGCUGCUGACCUCAAUUCUAUUCCUCUUCAGAUUCAGUCUCUGACACACCAAUAUGGCCAUUUGUUUAAGGAACCCACGGGUUUACCUCCACAAAGGGAGGAUGAUCAUCACAUACCACUUUUGGCUGGAUCUCAACCUGUCAACAUCAGGCCAUAUAGGUAAUCCAAGGCUAUCAAGAGGAUGUCAUGGCACAACAGCUUCUUACUGAACUUAGCAUUGUCUCUCCCAAUGAUAAAGGUUACUGUCUUCAGGAUGGUAUUAUCUUUAAAGUGUGGGUGGGCAACAAUGAGUUGGCUCAACAGCAUAUCAUACAAGCUCUUCAUGCUAGUGGGUUGGGUGGAUAUUCUGGAAUACAAGCCACUUAUCAGAGGGUCAAAGCUCUUUUUAUCUGGCCCAGGAUGAAACAGUCAAUAAUUGAUUUUGUGCAAGCCUGUGUCGUGUGCCAACAAGCUAAGGGAGAGCAUGUGAAAUUACCAGGUCUGCUACAACCUUUGGCUGUACCUGACCGAGCAUGAAAGGUGGUAAGUAUGGAUUUUGUUGAAGGUUUACCUAAAUCUCAAGGGUUCAAUGCUAUAUUGGUGGUGGUAGUGGUGGACAAGUUUACCACAUAUGCUCAUUUCUUGCCCUUCUCCCACUCAUUUACUGCUCUAUCAGUGGCUCAGUUAUACUUUCAUAAUGUUUACAAGCUCCACUGCUUGCCUGAGACUAUUAUCUCUGACAGAGCAUCUUCACAAGUUUUCUUUGGCAAGAAUUAUUCAAAUUGAGCGACACUCAGUUGAUGAUGAGCUCCUCAUACCACCCACAGACGGAUGGACAGACUGAACGUGUCAACCAGUGCUUAGAAGCUUUCCUUCGUUGCUCUGUUCAUUCCUGCCCGUCAGUGGCAUAAAUGGAUUUCUCUUGCUGAAUAUUGGCACAACACUGCAUUUCAUUCAGCCUUGGGUCUUUCGCCAUUUGAGGCUCUAUAUGGUCAUCCUCCCAGGCAUUUGGGCAUCAAGAAUUCAGAGGACUACGCUGUUCCUGAUCUUGCAGCUUGGAUGAAGGACAGGAAUUUUCUCUCUCAACUCAUUCAACAACAGUUGUUGCGUGCACAGCAAAGAAUGAAGCAUCAGGCUGACACUCAUCGGUCAGAGAGGGAGUUCCAAGUGGGUGAUCUGGUUUAUCUCAAGUUACAACCACAUGUGCAGUCCUUUGUGGCCACCAGGAGCAACAACAAACUGGCCUUCAGAUUCUAUGGUCUAUUUCCUAUUUUGCAGAGUCUCGCAAUGGCUUAUAAAUUGCAGCUACCUGCUCAUGCCCAAAUUCAUGCUGUGGUCCAUGUUUCCCAACUCAAACGUCAUGUUCCACCACAGACGCCGGUGAGUGCAGAUCUUUCCACUGUCUGUGCUGAUCCCUCUACUCCAGUUAUGCCUCUGUUGAUCUUGGAUCGUGCACUGCAUCUGGUGGGAGCUUCCGCAAUGCCCCGACUGCUAGUUCAGUGGAACACAGUAUCUUCUCUGACAUCUUGGGAAGAUGAACAAGAUCUUCGUCGACUUUUUCCUACAGCAUCAGCUUGGGGUCAAGCUGCCUGCCUCUCAAGGGGAGUGUCCGUGUCAUGACUAAGACGUUGGCCAAGAAGAAACGCCGACUAAAUGAAUGCUUGGAGAGGAAGCCGUAAAUGUCUGGGCUUCGUGUGCUGGGCUUAGUUGAUUCUUGAGCUUGGGCCGUAUGAACUGGCUCUGUGAGCCGUGUGAGCUGGAAUGGAGGGAGAUAAAUACCCGCCACCGCUCUGUAAUCGUUGUUGAAUUUUGUACCGAACCUAUUCCUAAAUUCGAAUCUGAUCUCGUACCCACGGAAUCCAGCCGUGUUCUUCCCCAA
Panicum hallii is the source of this 3345-nucleotide long non-coding RNA. RefSeq lists it as uncharacterized. Lineage: Eukaryota; Viridiplantae; Streptophyta; Magnoliopsida; Poales; Poaceae. The record is from RefSeq and is a predicted model, not a curated record. The transcript has 2 exons.